UACGGAGGGUGCGAGCGUUGUCCGGAAUCACUGGGCGUAAAGGGCGCGUAGGCGGAUCUUUAAGUCGGGGGUGAAAGCCCAGGGCUCAACCCUGGAAUUGCCUUCGAUACUGAAGAUCUCGAGACCGGAAGAGGUUAGUGGAACUGCGAGUGUAGAGGUGAAAUUCGUAGAUAUUCGCAAGAACACCAGUGGCGAAGGCGGCUCACUGGCCCGGUACUGACGCUGAGGUGCGAAAGCGUGGGGAGCAAACAGG
Molecule: ribosomal RNA, 253 nt
Filed under: uncultured bacterium
Lineage: Bacteria
Description: partial 16S ribosomal RNA
Rfam family: Bacterial small subunit ribosomal RNA
Source: RNAcentral